RNAcentral lists this ribosomal RNA (343 nucleotides) under uncultured Methanomicrobiales archaeon. RNAcentral's name for it is "bacterial SSU rRNA". It matches the Rfam family "Archaeal small subunit ribosomal RNA", at positions 1005 to 1352 of the family's 1478-position model. The record is from RNAcentral. Lineage: Archaea; Methanobacteriati; Methanobacteriota; Methanomicrobia; Methanomicrobiales.
GGGCACGGGGGGAACCGUCGACAGUCAGGCAACGAGCGAGACCCACGCCAACAGUUGCUAGCUCGUCCUCCGGGAUGGAGAGGACACUGUUGGGACCGCCUCCGCUAAAGAGGAGGAAGGAAUGGGCAACGGUAGGUCAGCAUGCCCCGAAUUAACUGGGCUACACGCGGGCUACAAUGGGUGGGACAAUGGGUAUCGACACCGAAAGGUGAAGGCAAUCUCCUAAACCCAUCCUUAGUUCGGAUUGUGGGCUGCAACUCGCCCACAUGAAGCUGGAAUCCGUAGUAAUCGUAUCUCAAUAUGGUACGGUGAAUAUGUCCCUGCUCCUUGCACGAAUUCGCCG